AAUAGGAUCAGGAACUUCGUUUUCCUGCAUCACUUCUUAGAGGGACUUUGCGUGUCUAACGCAAGGAAGUUUGAGGCAAUAACAGGUCUGUGAUGCCCUUAGAUGUUCUGGGCUGCACGCGCGCUACACUGAUGCAUCCAACGAGUUUAUAACCUUGGCCGGUAGGUCUGGGUAAUCUUGUGAGUAUGCAUCGUGAUGGGGAUAGAUUAUUGCAAUUAUUAAUCUUCAACGAGGAAUGCCUAGUAGGCGCAAGUCAGCAGCUUGCGCCGAUUACGUCCCUGCCCUUUGUACACACCGCCCGUCG
Molecule: ribosomal RNA, 304 nt
Filed under: Sarcocystidae sp.
Lineage: Eukaryota; Apicomplexa; Conoidasida; Eucoccidiorida; Sarcocystidae
Description: SSU rRNA
Rfam family: Eukaryotic small subunit ribosomal RNA
Source: RNAcentral